This 72-nucleotide transfer RNA is filed under the name Phascolosoma esculenta. RNAcentral describes it as "tRNA-Tyr". It matches the Rfam family "tRNA". From Rfam's summary of the family: Transfer RNA (tRNA) molecules are approximately 80 nucleotides in length. Their secondary structure includes four short double-helical elements and three loops (D, anti-codon, and T loops). The record is from RNAcentral. Lineage: Eukaryota; Metazoa; Annelida; Sipuncula; Phascolosomatiformes; Phascolosomatidae.
GAUAAGAUGGCUGAGAACUUAUUUAAGCGAAAGACUGUAAAUCUUUUAACGGGUCUAAAUUCCCUCUUAUCU